CCUACGGGAGGCAGCAGUGGGGAAUAUUGGACAAUGGGCGGAAGCCUGAUCCAGCAAUGCCGCGUGUGUGAAGAAGGCCUGCGGGUUGUAAAGCACUUUCGUUGGGGAGGAAGGGUUUUGUUUUAAUAGAGCAAGACAUUGACGUUACCCAAAUAAGAAGCACCGGCUAACUCUGUGCCAGCAGCCGCGGU
This 191-nucleotide ribosomal RNA is filed under the name uncultured bacterium. Its description in RNAcentral is "partial 16S ribosomal RNA". It matches the Rfam family "Bacterial small subunit ribosomal RNA", at positions 338 to 521 of the family's 1533-position model. The record is from RNAcentral.